This 237-nucleotide ribosomal RNA is filed under the name uncultured bacterium. RNAcentral's name for it is "partial small subunit ribosomal RNA". It matches the Rfam family "Bacterial small subunit ribosomal RNA", at positions 26 to 291 of the family's 1533-position model. The record is from RNAcentral.
AGAGCGAACGCUGGCGGCAGGCUUAACACAUGCAAGUCGAACGGAUCCUUCGGGAUUAGUGGCGGACGGGUGAGUAACACGUGGGAACGUGCCUUUAGGUUCGGAACAACACAGGGAAACUUGUGCUAAUACCGGAUGUGCCCUUCGGGGGAAAGAUUUAUCGCCUUUAGAGCGGCCCGCGUCUGAUUAGCUUGUUGGUGAGGUAAAGGCUCACCAAGGCUACGAUCAGUAGCUGGU